CUUUAAGCUUCUUUUACAGCAGCACGUCAGACCUGCGGUGUAAUGGAAAAUGGAUGAAGGCCAGCCCAGGUUGUAAGUCACUUCCUCAGUGAGUUCACCUGGUUAAACUGGGCACUCUGGAUCUGUGCCCCAAGCAGGAAAAACAGACUUCCAUUUGACGGUGCUAUAACUGGCCUGUCACCUUGCAAUGCUGUACUAAGAAAAACAGUCUAAGAAAAUGAAUAAAUGCAGGCAUGUGAUACUCUCUACACUCAAGACACUGGAAGACCGUUCUGCGUGGAGUUGGCACAAUGGUGAUUUCUUCAAACAUCAGGACUGUGUUGUUUCACACAAAUAUGUGUUUGAGAACCUGCGAUGAUCUUGCCAACUAAGGAUGGCAGGGACCAUAAUAAAAGGAAAACAUAAAAACUGGUUAUGCCGAAAGCCAGGGUUAUAUCUGCCUGUUUGCGCCAUAUUAAAGAGGAGGCCAACAUAACCCCAACCUGUUCCUGUCCAUUACUGCAUCCAUAAAGCAGUAUGCAUAAACCAUGAGAAGUCUACCUGGCCAUCCAAGAGGGACAAAGGAUAGGCUUUCAAAAAUCUGCCAUUUCUUUCCAAAGCGUUAAACACAUUUUCAACAGGCUUUUCUCUUCUGGGGCCCAAAUUGCUGUUAUUCUUGUUUCUACAUCUCUCUACAAACUAAUAAAAAGACUGUAAUUAUUGUGAUCAACCUUUGACUUGUUUCUUACUAAAAUAAUUCAUUUAAUUUUCCAUUUGCUUUGUGACCUGUUAUGCAGAUUCCCAUGGCAAAACUAAGUGCUAUUCAAUACGGAAGCAAUUUUUGCGGACUUUUAUUUCAGUCAUGUUCUGUGGGGCAAAUACUGUGCAUUUAGAAGCUUAAUAUAUAAUGUAACAAGGAAAACACAGCAUUGAACAUUUCGAGAAUCAAUAGUAGAGAAAGCGCUAA
This is a long non-coding RNA of Polypterus senegalus (gray bichir), 946 nucleotides long. RefSeq lists it as uncharacterized. NCBI's taxonomy places the organism in Eukaryota, Metazoa, Chordata, Cladistia, Polypteriformes, Polypteridae. The transcript has 4 exons. The record is from RefSeq and is a predicted model, not a curated record.